UGACACCAAAAGCUAUCUCUCUGAAGCCUC
This 30-nucleotide non-coding RNA is filed under the name Mus musculus (house mouse). The record is from RNAcentral. Lineage: Eukaryota; Metazoa; Chordata; Mammalia; Rodentia; Muridae.